CAACGCGAAGAACCUUACCUACUCUUGACAUCCACGGAAUUUGGCAGAGAUGCCUUAGUGCCUUCGGGAACCGUGAGACAGGUGCUGCAUGGCUGUCGUCAGCUCGUGUUGUGAAAUGUUGGGUUAAGUCCCGCAACGAGCGCAACCCUUAUCCUUUGUUGCCAGCGAUUCGGUCGGGAACUCAAAGGAGACUGCCGGUGAUAAACCGGAGGAAGGUGGGGAUGACGUCAAGUCAUCAUGGCCCUUACGAGUAGGGCUACACACGUGCUACAAUGGCGCAUACAAAGAGAAGCGACCUCGCGAGAGCAAGCGGACCUCACAAAGUGCGUCGUAGUCCGGAUCGGAGUCUGCAACUCGACUCCGUGAAGUCGGAAUCGCUAGUAAUCGUGGAUCAGAAUGCCACGGUGAAUACGUUCCCGGGCCUUGUACACACCGCCCGUCACACCAUGGGAGUGGGUUGCAAAAGAAGUAGGUAGCUUAACCUUCGGGAGGGCGCUUACC
Molecule: ribosomal RNA, 501 nt
Filed under: Pantoea agglomerans
Lineage: Bacteria; Pseudomonadati; Pseudomonadota; Gammaproteobacteria; Enterobacterales; Erwiniaceae
Description: bacterial SSU rRNA
Rfam family: Bacterial small subunit ribosomal RNA
Source: RNAcentral